This 2750-nucleotide long non-coding RNA is filed under the name Sarcophilus harrisii (Tasmanian devil). Its description in RNAcentral is "lncRNA (ENSSHAG00000024284.1)". Lineage: Eukaryota; Metazoa; Chordata; Mammalia; Dasyuromorphia; Dasyuridae. The record is from RNAcentral.
GCAGCCCCCAGUAGCUUGGGCUUAAUAAUAACUCCAUUCUUUUUUAUUUAAAAAAAGUGGGGAGGGAUGGAGGAGGGAAGCUGUGGAGAGCAGGGGGAGGAGGGAAAUCGUUUCAGGACAUCCGGAGUAGCCCAGGAUGAAGAAGAUAUAAAGGUUAAGGUUGUGGUAUCAUGUCCAUUUUUCGUAGAAGCCCGUUUCAGCGGCGGGUGAGGAAUGGUGUGCAUUCUCGAAGCGACACGCCAGCGAUUCUAAAGCCCUCGUUUAGACCUUAGCUCGCGAGGAGAGUCCAAGACGCUAGCUUUAGCAGCCUGAUUCACCCUAGGGGGCAGCGCCCUUUGACCCACUCCACUCUCGGCUGCCUGACCCUUGUCAUUUCUCGCUGCGGGGGGAGAGGAGGGGAGGAGGAGGCUGUGGCCUCUAGGGGAAGAGGGAUGGAGAAUGCUGGCAGCGACGGCAGCGUGGUAACUCUACCCAGGGCUCUCAAGCUGCGGUUGGUGAGUUUCCAGCAGGAAAGUCAAUCAGUAAACAGCCCCGUGCGCCCCCAGUUCCACUCCCCACCCCCUUCAUUUUCCCUGGGCUGGCUGGGAACCUCACCCAGACACCAACAUAUCCCGCCCUCUCUCAGGCUCCCCGGCCGCGAUCGGAGAAGGGAACUGCAACAAGACUAUUGUGGCAGGGCCUGGGCUCUGGAAACAGUUCUCCUCCCUUCUCCGCCCCCCCUCCCCGAACCACUCUACCCCCACUGCCGCCUUGGCCCCUGGAGUUGGUGUUCUGAAGGAGAGGCGCGGGGUGCAGAGAGAAGGGGAGGGCAAACUGCCGCCCCCCACCCCACCCCCUCCUAGUUGAAUGUCAGCUUUGUUCCGGAAAACAAGGGAAGCAUUAGGCUGCUGCCCCCGGGGGAAACACAAAACUUCUUUUUGAAUCUCUGGAAGGACGGCUGACUGCGCUACGGGGCUCCUGGGAGAGAGGCCGAGACAGGAGAGGGAGCUAGCAGGGAAAAGAGUGCAGAAGAGAAGACACGGGGAGACACUCAACUGAGAGACAGAGACAAAGGCGAGCGAGUCGAAGAAAGAACGAGUAAGACGGAGACUAAAGGAGAAUUACACGGAAGGGGAGAAACCCUGGGAGACAGUGAAUCCUCGGCCGUGACAUAGAACAAGAGGAGAGGCCAAGUCUGGCCGGGAGGUGGGGGAGGGGAGCGGCGAACUAAGUCUCCGGCCAGCUCGAGUUCGGCGCAAAGGUGCUGUUCUGCCGAGAGACCGGCCCCGGCCAAGUGGCUGUUACCCAGCCGAGUGUAUGCGCGCCAGCUUCCUGCCCGGCCCCGAGCGGAGGAGCAGCCUGGGACGCUGCAGGCUCGGCCGGAAUCGCUGGGAGGCCGGGAAGCCGCGAGCAUUCACCGAGAAGUGGCACUUUGCCAUCCUGGGGAUGGAAGCGGCCUCGCUAGACCAGGCCUAAAAACCAUGAACCAAAGACACCAGCUCUAGCUCCAGAAUUAGCCACCCCUCUAUCCCGCACCACACUUCGUGGCAGCCGCACUCCGGGGGUUCCUUUCCUCCCUUCCCCCUCCUCCCCACGUUCUCCCGCUCCUGGGCCCCAUCACUGGUAAAAUGAAAGGGAAAAGGCUGUUAACAACUCUCUGUAGGAAACCUGGAAUUGGUCUUAGUCUCUGGGCUUGAUCCUUUGCACCCACUUAGUGUUGCAGGUUGCUUUGCCUCCCAGAGGAGCAAAAGGGGAAGCUUCCAGAGUUGAAGUGGUUCACAGAAAGAUGAUCCUGUAGUAAGUGAAUCCUCCAGCAAAUGUUAACGUAUAUUUAUUUUUCCAUUGAUGGUUUUAAUAUUCGCAAUCCUGGCCUCAGAGUGCAAAUGAACUCUUUAUCUGGGGGCAAGAAUUACAGUUUGCUUGAACUCACUUCCCCCCUCAUUCCCCUACUCCUUGGUUUCCCUGCUAGAUUUUCAAAACCCACUUUCUCCAGGGCUGUCUUUCUGAGAACUUUGACCCUGACCAGGGCCUAAGUCCUUGGCUAUAUCCAUGCGGUAGAGGCGAGAACGUUUUCCAUGCGUUCUCCCCUCUGACUCAGUAAUUCAGUUUGAGAACGAGAUUCUCCGCGUCUCCCUCUUCUCCUCCCCCCCCUCCCACCCCCGCCUUAACUCACUUGGUUUUUAACUUCCCCUAAAUCUCCCUUCUUGCUCAGAAAGGCACAGAGGAGGGGAAACCGAGAGGAAACACGCUGCCGCUGUGCGAAAUGCGGACCAUGUGUGGGAACGAUCCAGUCAAAGUGCAACUGCCAGCCAGGGGCAGUUGUGUGGGGGUGGGGCGGGAAGGGGAGAUUGGUUCUGAGUGUGGAAAGGGAGGGUCUGGGAGCUGGUUUAGGGAGAGGGGCGUCGGUGGGAGCGACAGAGCAGCAGACACUUUUAUUCUUCCGGGUGGGCAGACGUUAGACUCUCCCCGCCCCCAGCCCCCAUUCUUGUUAAGAAUCCUUUCUCUCGUGUCUUUUAUGGUAGGUGAUGAGCUAUGGAGGCUGCCGAAGUAAUAUCAGCAGUAGUGAGAUUAAGCUAAAGGAUACACUCUAGUUUACAGAGCUGAGGCAGCGGCCUAGGGUGAAAGAGCAAAAGGCCCUCUUUUCGACAGUUCAGAGGCUAGAAGGUUAUAGCAGCUUGAGUAUCAACAAAGGGAGACUGGGAAGAGAGAAGAGCCAGGGAAUGGAAGAUGAGCCACUGGGAGAGGAAGAGGGGGCAGCUGCUAAGAGCUCU